AACAGUUGAGGAAGAGAGAGCACCACAUCUAGCAUGUGGCUUGUGGCAGCCAAACGUUUAUAAUGACAUUGUUUUUUGAUCCUUUGAUGUUAGCUUUUCUUAUCAUUGUGAAGUAAAAUUCACCAAGUGUUAGAUUGUUCACCCACCAAUAGAGAAUGUGAGUUGGGUUUAAAUCGUCAAGAGACAUACUAAUGAGCUCUGCUGUAAUAGUAAUUCAACUUAGUAGGAAAGAUUUGCACAAUUAGAAAUUCUGCUUGGUUGAAAAGCCAGUGGUGAGAAGCUACGAUGUGUGGGAUUACGACUGAAUGCCUCUAAGUCAGAAAGGAUGUCGUUCUCUAGCCAGUCCCUGGCGAGGAAGAGUUCCUGGAGGCAGCAGAGUAGAGUGUUUGUUUCGGACUCU
This 400-nucleotide non-coding RNA is filed under the name Selaginella moellendorffii. RNAcentral describes it as "rRNA LSU_rRNA_eukarya". It matches the Rfam family "Eukaryotic large subunit ribosomal RNA", at positions 2796 to 3401 of the family's 3401-position model. The record is from Rfam by way of RNAcentral. Lineage: Eukaryota; Viridiplantae; Streptophyta; Lycopodiopsida; Selaginellales; Selaginellaceae.